GAUCAUGGCUCAGGAUGAACGCUGGCGGCGUGCUUAACACAUGCAAGUCGAGCGAAGCGCUUUGGAAAGAUUCUUCGGAUGAUUUCCUUUGUGACUGAGCGGCGGACGGGUGAAGGUAACGCGUGGGUAACCUGCCUCAUACAGGGGGAUAACAGUUAGAAAUGACUGCUAAUACCGCAUAAGCCCACAGCUCGGCAUCGAGCAGAGGGAAAAAGGAGCAAUCCGCUUUGAGA
Molecule: ribosomal RNA, 233 nt
Filed under: uncultured bacterium
Lineage: Bacteria
Description: partial 16S ribosomal RNA
Rfam family: Bacterial small subunit ribosomal RNA
Source: RNAcentral